Molecule: ribosomal RNA, 434 nt
Filed under: uncultured Clostridiales Family XIV bacterium
Lineage: Bacteria; Bacillati; Bacillota; Clostridia; Eubacteriales; Clostridiales Family XIV. Incertae Sedis
Description: bacterial SSU rRNA
Rfam family: Bacterial small subunit ribosomal RNA
Source: RNAcentral
ACGGGAGGCAGCAGUGGGGAAUAUUGCACAAUGGAGGAAACUCUGAUGCAGCAACGCCGCGUGAGUGAAGAAGUAUUUCGGUAUGUAAAGCUCUAUCAGCAGGGAAGAAAAUGACGGUACCUGACUAAGAAGCCCCGGCUAACUACGUGCCAGCAGCCGCGGUAAUACGUAGGGGGCAAGCGUUAUCCGGAUUUACUGGGUGUAAAGGGAGCGUAGGUGGCAACGCAAGUCAGAAGUGAAAGCCCGGGGCUCAACUCCGGGACUGCUUUUGAAACUGUGUAGCUAGAGUGCAGGAGAGGUAAGUGGAAUUCCUAGUGUAGCGGUGAAAUGCGUAGAUAUUAGGAGGAACACCGGUGGCGAAGGCGGCUUACUGGACUGUAACUGACACUGAGGCUCGAAAGCGUGGGGAGCAAACAGGAUUAGAUACCCUGGUA